Small nuclear RNA from Cynoglossus semilaevis (tongue sole), 195 nucleotides. Its record names the gene U2. It matches the Rfam family "U2 spliceosomal RNA". From Rfam's summary of the family: U2 is a small nuclear RNA (snRNA) component of the spliceosome (involved in pre-mRNA splicing). NCBI's taxonomy places the organism in Eukaryota, Metazoa, Chordata, Actinopteri, Pleuronectiformes, Cynoglossidae. The record is from Ensembl.
ACAAGUGGUCGAUCGGCCUUUUGGCUAAGAUCAAGUGUAGUAUCUGUUCUUAUCAGUUUAAUAUCUGAUACGUCCCCUACCCGGGGACCUUAUAUUAAAUUGAUUUUUGGAUCUGGGAGAUGGAAUAGGGGCUUGCUCCGUCCACUCCGCGUAUCGACCUGGUAUUGCAGUACCUCCAGGAACGGUGCACCCCCU